UAUUCUGCCCCAUGGGGAAGGAUGAGAAGCUUCGACCAAGGUUCGACUCGAGCAAAGCGAGAGAACGUUGCCGCAGGCAAUGGCCCGAAGGCGAGGCGCUUUAGCGCCGAGUAAUCCUUCCCCCACCACUG
Molecule: small RNA, 131 nt
Filed under: Klebsiella pneumoniae
Lineage: Bacteria; Pseudomonadati; Pseudomonadota; Gammaproteobacteria; Enterobacterales; Enterobacteriaceae
Description: RtT sRNA
Rfam family: RtT RNA
About the family: This family represents a bacterial cis-regulatory element known as RtT RNA. The exact function of RtT is unknown although it is thought that it may be involved in changing the cellular response in relation to amino acid starvation.
Source: RNAcentral